AGCAUGCACUGAUGUCUGGUUUUCUUUAUUGUAGCUGACUAAGGGACAACAGCCCAGCGGUGGCAGGAAUUUCCCAGAUGGUGAAACUUUUUUACUGCACACCUGGCAUGGAUUCUCAUACCUGGAUCUCUGACAGAUAAGUGCUGGGCUCCAAUCCCCAGAGGGGAUGGGAGUGGGAUGCUGGGUCUGGAAUUGUCAGGAGGGAUUUUUGAGGCAGCUUUGGAGCUGGGGAUGUCCAAGAAGCAGCCCCUCAGGCCCCAUAAGGGGAAGAGUCUCAAUUUGAUCUCAAUGCUGAGUUGCACAGGGCAGAGCAGUUCCUCUGGGUGUCAUGUCACUUGUCUCUUGUGCAGUCUGUGUCUUCUGUCUGUGUUGCGUUGCCUGUCUCUUAGCCCUUUGAGGGGCCUCUCAGAAACCCUGGGCUCAUCCGUAGCAUCUUGUGAUCUCUGCAUUCAUCAUCCUGGCUCUGCUGCCCUCAAACCUUGGACUCAUUUGCCAUCUGAAUCUCUUCUCUUUUGAAGAGCAUCCGGUCUGUCUUGUAAGGUCUUUUUCCGAGCUUUAUUGACAGCUGUGCGCUGCAAAGUUCCAUUACUUGAGAUUGGGUCUUGGAAGAAUGGGAAGAUAAGAAGAGGAUUCUCAGGCAUCCAUCUCUUCAGAAGAAAUCAUUCUGCUAGCAGAUUUUCUAGCCUCGUCAGCUUGCUAUCAGUCUUCCCUCAGUCAUCUCAAUUUGCAAUCUCUGUCCUCCUGGUCCUUCCUGCUGAGAGAUUGAAUUUUUUUCCUCCCUCUGUCCUCGCCUCGUUUGUCACGUCCUGUGUCACGGGUGCCUGCAUGCAAUUGGGCCAGAAACUGCUCUGCCCUGCUGUGUAGUCUGGGCAUAGGUGUGCUAGGACCAGUCCUGGGGACUUGCUUUUAGUAAUGUGGGGUGGUGUUGGACCCUAGAUGAAAUCUGGAGGUAUAAAGUUAUCCUGCAGCACAUUUGACUUCUGUCCUAUCUUCCUUUCAGAUGCAGAUGGAUCAAUUCUGAGGCUGUGGGCCCAUCCUAGGAAAUGAAGCAGGAUAUCCACUGUCAAGGAGAAGCAGGCCAGGCGGUGCCCUUGAACUACCCUGAGAUGGCUCUGCCCAGCUGGCCAAGAGACCCAGUUCACUGCUCCUGUGAGCCCUCCAGCAGUAUUCCAGGACUCUGAUGAAGCCUUCACCUUCUCCUAUUUGAAGAUGCCAGCCAGGUAGCCUUUGGCAAGAGCCAAGCAGUUGAGGUGAGUCUGGGAGUUUGGGAGAAGGGAGUUGGG
Catharus ustulatus (Swainson's thrush) is the source of this 1283-nucleotide long non-coding RNA. RefSeq lists it as uncharacterized. The transcript is spliced from 3 exons. The record is from RefSeq and is a predicted model, not a curated record. NCBI's taxonomy places the organism in Eukaryota, Metazoa, Chordata, Aves, Passeriformes, Turdidae.